Long non-coding RNA from Theobroma cacao (cacao), 928 nucleotides. RefSeq lists it as uncharacterized. Lineage: Eukaryota; Viridiplantae; Streptophyta; Magnoliopsida; Malvales; Malvaceae. The record is from RefSeq and is a predicted model, not a curated record.
ACUAUUGAUUUAUUUUCUUCACGUGGUCAAUUAACUAACCUGUAAUUCGAUAAGCACCCAAAACCACCGGGAGAACUAGAAAUGAAGAAGGGAAAGCGCCAACGGUUGUUUCCUGCGGCUUCCGACAAUAUGGCUAACGAAGAUUCUCAGUUCAUACUUCCCUGAUAAUUUCCAGAAGCCAAACAACUCUCAAAUUCCUUGGGCCAUCAUUGAGACCAAAAGAUUAAAAGGUGACAGAUGAAUGUUUUAUUUGAGUUCCCGUGAAUAGAAUCUAAAAUGUGGUAAAUAAGCGGCUGUACUAGCUUUGCAAUUUUUACUUCUGUACAUUGGGAUAUGUGCUUCUACUUCUUUGCAUGACUUUUAUGUGUUGCAUUCCUUUUGGCAAGGGAUGUUGGGCUAGGGGGUAGGAAAUGUCAGUAUUAAGCCUCCAGUACAGAGGUUCUUUGAAUGAUGAUAAUAAAAACACUAAGUCCAUGUUGAUCCAGAUAAAUCAGAAGACUUGAAAUGGUUACCAAGGUGAAAUAUAGGUGAAAAGUUAUGAACCAAGAGUGAUUUUUCUCAUCUGCUAGAUUUUGAGAUUGAUGGAUCAGCUUGUCUAUAGAAUUUAGGUCCAGCUAUCUGUGGGCUCAAGUUGAUGCUCCUUCACGGGCCAAAUAUGUCUAUUGUAUAAUAAGCUUGCAGCUGAUGUCUACUUUUGUUUUCUGGUCUCAAACACAAUGUAUUGAGGCAGAUUGCUUAGAACCUUUAGUGAAGUUGGUCAUAUAUCAGAAAUUUAUAGUAAGUGGACCAGGUUUGUUCCUGCUGUCUAGACUGUCUUUGAAAUGUAAAAUGGAUAAUUGAUGACUGAUAAGUAUUGUAUUGGACUUCCUGUAGACAGCAUGCAAAUUGUAGUAAAUAAAUGGCUUUGACUUGUGUUUUUAUUUCUGUA